GAGACGUACGAAUUAAAUCAGUCGAGGGAAGGAUAAACGUUAGAAAGGAAUUAAAGAGAAAACGAGAGUUUAUGUAAAAGAGAGUUAUAGAAUUUAUAGUGAUGUUUUGUUUUAAUUAGAAAAAUGUUGAGAGUUGUUUCAGAACGACACGUCAGUGGACGUGGCAGAAUGAACACGUGACGGGGAGGUGCUGAGACCUAGCGGAGAACGGAGGAACCGCAAGCGAGGGUUGGCGCACCUGAUGGAAUUCGGUGACGUCACGGGCUCAUACGGAGACGUGGACAGGCCGUGACCUUGUUUUGAUCAGCUGUACGGUAACUUAGCGAUAAGAAAAUAGACUAUUGGUUAAAUACAUUUAAAUUUAAGUGUGUUUUAGGAGAAGAGGAACUUUCAGUAUAUUCCUUAAGAUGAGCUGAGCAGCAGUCCAGUUUACAAGAUGACAAGAGUUUGAGAGACAAGAUACAAGAUCACUGAAACAAGAGCCAAGACUGAAGAUUCAAGAGAAGAGAAAGCUGGCAGCCAUGGACUUACAAGUGGAGAUUAAUAAGGUCAUGUAAAGUUUUAUUUUUUUUUAUGGAAGACAGUAACUGGAGUUUUUUUUUGUUAUAAACAUUAUUUACAGAACUUUUUAGGUUAUAGUAAUGUAAUGGAACUAGUGAGUUGUGGUAGCUGUCAAAAAGAACUAAUACCUUAAGUUUAAUUUUUAAAGUUAAUUUUCUUAAUUUACAGAGGGAUUAGUAGUUUUUUUUUAAACCUUAUUUAGGUUGGAAUUUAAAUACAAUAGCUUAUUAUAAAUGUGUACGAACAGUUCAAGUUCACAGUACUGAUAGGUAGGUCAGAUGAUCUUAUUGAUUUUGAUGAUUUGUUGUUUUGAGUUGAUUUUUAAGUGUUGUGAAUUAGACAAUGAAAUAGUUCUGAAAACUUAAAUUAUUUCAAGCUAAGAAAUAGUAAAGUUAAUUGUAACUCAAAGGACACCAGAAUUUAAUUUUUUUUUGAAUUAGUAAUGUUUGAAAAUUUUAUACUUCACAAGAAAGGUUAUAAACAAACAGAUCGGAUGGAACAAGGAUGCAGUAAAUCACAAUUUCAUUUAGAAUUAUUGAUUUGCUUUUGAGGUUAUGAAGGAAAAGUAGCUAUAAUUUAAAAAUUUGAAUAAAAAUGGUUUUUUUUUAAUUUGUUUGAAAUAGAAAAUUUAAAAGUUAAUUUGUCAUGAUCUAGGUGGGUGAUGGGGUGGGAAUUGGCCACUCUUUUUCCCUAUAACCUCCCUAACAUGGCCUUCUAUUACAUCUAACAGAAAAAAAAAGAAGAAAAAGAAGACUUAUUAUUAGUUAGAAUGUUUUUUUAUGAAGAUACCUGAUGAACUUUUUUUUUAUUGUUGGGAAGAAUAGUAGCAAGAUUAAUCAGAUGUUUUACUCAGAAGAAGAAGAAGAAGAAGAUAAAGCAGUUUUAUGACUCGACAAGCCAGAGAUUGGUGUUUCCCCUCUGCGCUCCUAUUGACUACGUUGUUUACUCUCAUGGGAUAGCUGGUUCGGCACCAUGGAGAGAGAUUGGUGGGCAUUGUGGUUGCCCCCAGAAGAAAAGAAGAGUAGAAGAGGUUAUGGGUGGGUCAUGUGAACUGACCUUCAACCCAGUUACUUCGUGGGGACUAUUUGCUGUAUAGAGAAGAUCAAGACUCAAGAGUUAGGGAAAAUUAUUGGAGGUCAUGUUUCCCUUCCUUAAGUUUUUCCUAUCAAAUUAUUUGCCUGAUUAGAUUAUGCUAAGGGUGGGAUACUUUAUGUUAGCAGUUGAAUUAAUUAAUUUUAUUUUUUUGUGUGUUUGCAUCCUUGCCCAUCGAUUGCAGUUUAGUAGUUAGUUUUGUAUUUGUCAGGCGUGAUGGUAAUGCCUGUUGAUGAUGUUUCAGAAUUGUAAUCUGUUCGUGAUGAGGAUGGCACAACUCCGAAGCAGAUGUGGGGAGAAGUUGUGAGCUGCCCUGGAAGCCAGUCCAGUAGCUGUUGGAGUUGAGUGGUGUUUGCUGAUGGCCAGCCCAGGGAGCUACUCUUCUCGACAACACUGACUUCGAGGAGUUGCACCAACCUUCACGAGAUAAGAGUUUAAUUAAUUGAAACACUGUAAGGACACUUAAUUUUUUUUGAAGAACGAAAGAAGUAUGGUAAUAAACGGAAACCGAAAAAAAAAAAA
Bacillus rossius redtenbacheri is the source of this 2175-nucleotide long non-coding RNA. RefSeq lists it as uncharacterized. Lineage: Eukaryota; Metazoa; Arthropoda; Insecta; Phasmatodea; Bacillidae. The transcript has 2 exons. The record is from RefSeq and is a predicted model, not a curated record.